UUGUUCCCAGUAAUACCUUCAACUAAAUCC
This 30-nucleotide non-coding RNA is filed under the name Rattus norvegicus (Norway rat). The record is from RNAcentral. Lineage: Eukaryota; Metazoa; Chordata; Mammalia; Rodentia; Muridae.